AAAAUUAGAUCAAGUUCUUGUUUGAUUUAAGUGAAUUUUUAUUUGUCAAUUAAAUCUUUGUUAUCAUCAUUGCUAAUAAUUCAUAUUUUAUUAUAUAGUAUUACUAUUUAAUUAAUUAAUAUUUACUUCUUACCAUUUAUUAUUUAAUAUAACUUAGGAAAUUAUUCAUUAUUCUUGGGAUUUAUGUGAAUUAUUAUAUUUGUGCUUCGUUUAUUCAUUUGUG
This 223-nucleotide long non-coding RNA is filed under the name Lathyrus oleraceus (garden pea). RNAcentral describes it as "Pisum sativum (pea) long non-coding RNA (PSAT_LNC040065)". The record is from RNAcentral. Lineage: Eukaryota; Viridiplantae; Streptophyta; Magnoliopsida; Fabales; Fabaceae.